This is a long non-coding RNA of Chrysemys picta bellii (western painted turtle), 546 nucleotides long. The record is from Ensembl. Lineage: Eukaryota; Metazoa; Chordata; Testudines; Emydidae.
AUGUGCAAAGGGAAAGGCCUAAGCAUACCAUUUCUGUGUUUUCCCUCUGAUUUCGCUGUUGUGUGUGUUUCUUUGUGGGGUAAUAUAUCUGAGGGUUUUGUUUCCAGGGUUCUAGCUCAUUUCAGUAACAUACUGCUAGUGCUGGACGAGAUGCCAAACUUCCCUGAGGAGCUCCAAGGGGCAAAGAAAGGGAUUCUGUAUCUCACACAGUACAAAAUGAUAUUCCAGCACAAGGACAAGGGCUCCACGACCAUCCGCUUUCCACUUCAGCUCCUGGGGGACUGUAUGAUAGGGGAGGAGCUGAGCUCCAGACAGCAAUAUAUCAAAGGGACUAUUACUUCCAGUCAAGGUGUUCUCACCUUCAAAUUCAUCUUCCUGUAUGAAGCCACUGAUUGCCUGAAUAUGAUCAAAACCCUGUCUUCAGCAGAUCCCAUCCCACAUGUGAAACAGCCAGGAAGAGAGACAACUGUGGAACCAACAAGCCAUAUGCCAAGCAUCUGCACUCACUCACUGUGCUCAGGGAUACUGAUUCAACCCAGUGCCUGA